GACGAACGCUGGCGGCGUGCUUAACACAUGCAAGUCGAACGGAAAGGCCCUGCUUUUGUGGGGUGCUCGAGUGGCGAACGGGUGAGUAACACGUGAGUAACCUGCCCUUGACUUUGGGAUAACUUCAGGAAACUGGGGCUAAUACCGGAUAUGAGCUCCUGCUGCAUGGUGGGGGUUGGAAAGUUUCGGCGGUUGGGGAUGGACUCGCGGCUUAUCAGCUUGUUGGUGGGGUAGUGGCUUACCAAGGCUUUGACGGGUAGCCGGCCUGAGAGGGUGAACGGCGACAUUGGGACUGAGAUACGGCCCAGACUCCUACGGGAGGCAGCAGUGGGGAAUAUUGCACAAUGGGCGGAAGCCUGAUGCAGCAACGCCGCGUGCGGGAUGACGGCCUUCGGGUUGUAAACCGCUUUCGCCUGUGACGAAGCGUGAGUGACGGUAAUGGGUAAAGAAGCACCGGCUAACUACGUG
RNAcentral lists this ribosomal RNA (468 nucleotides) under uncultured bacterium. Its description in RNAcentral is "partial 16S ribosomal RNA". It matches the Rfam family "Bacterial small subunit ribosomal RNA", at positions 28 to 507 of the family's 1533-position model. The record is from RNAcentral.